CUAGCUGAUACCUUUACUGCAUCCUCCCAGACAGGAAGGAGCUCCCUGGGGACUCAAUCUCUUCUUCGGGUGGAAACAGUGCUGCAUGAGGUACUGGAGGAGGUCAAGGCAGACUUCUACUAACUGGAUGCUUUCACUCAUUUAUUAUUUGUUUGGUAAUUUUGAACGGUCUCUCAGGCAAAAGUUUUGACACUCUAUGACUCGAGAGAAAAGCUGGAGUAAAGAGAAGGCAUGCCACAAAAUAAGUCCCUUCAGAAUUUCAGAUCCUUCUUUGGAUGACAUUCCUCCUUCUUAAAUGCGGACAAUUCAACUUGGACCUAAGGUAUGGGCAGCAGAAACUGGAUUAGAACGGAUGUUGAGUGAAGAAAGUGGAUGGCUUCACUCAGAUGUUCCAAAUCCGUCCCAGGAAAAUGAAAGCCACAUAGGUGCCAGAAACCGAUGCAUUUUCCACAAAGAAUACCGAGAUUCCUUCUGCUUUGUCAGAUCUAGAGUUCACUGCAAUUCCCUCCAUGACAAGACACAGGCCAUUCUAGGACGCGUGUGACAGAUGCCAUUCACAAGCCCGCGCCCUCCAACAGACAGAUUCACACUGAGGCUCCGUUCUCCUUCCCAGCUGGAAUCAAUCCUCU
This 629-nucleotide long non-coding RNA is filed under the name Equus asinus (donkey). Its description in RNAcentral is "lncRNA (ENSEASG00005029420.1)". The record is from RNAcentral. Lineage: Eukaryota; Metazoa; Chordata; Mammalia; Perissodactyla; Equidae.